AACCUGGUUGAUCCUGCCAGUAGUCAUAUGCUUGUCUCAAAGACUAAGCCAUGCACGUCUAAGUACAAACUAAAUGAUGGUGAAACUGCAAAUGGCUCAUUACAACGGUUAUGAUGUACCCGGGAGUUCCGAUGGAUAUUUCCAGUAACACUAGAACUAAUACAUGUCCCUGCGUUUAUUAGUUUCGCACAGUCCGUCGCUGAGUCAUGGUAAACAGUUGAUCGACUCGACGUCCCGGAACAGUUUCCGCCCCAUCAGCUUCGAUGGUUGGGUAUUGGCCUACCAUUGCAACAACGGGUAACGAGGAAUUAGGGUUUGAUUUCGGAGAGGGAGCCUGAGAAACGGCUACCACAUCUACGGAUGGCAGCAGGCGCGCAAAUUACCCAAUGCAGACACUGUGAGGUAGUGACGAGAAAUAAUAAAGCGGGACUUCUGUUUCGCUAUUAUAAUGAGGAAUAACCAAAGGUCAUUCCGAUUAGCAACUGAUGGGAAAGUCUGGUGCCAGCAGCCGCGGUAAUACCAGCGUCAGUAGCAUAUAUUAAAAUUGUUGCAGUUAAAACGUCCGUAGUCUGUACGUCGUCCCAAACUCACUGCAGUCUUCCGUUUUCUUAAUUGAAUGCGGUAGUUUCUGCAGUCACUCCCUUGAUCAAAUUAGGUUGUUCAAGGUAGACCAAGUCUUCAUAUUUUCACAUGGAAUUGGGUGAGGGAACUUAAGAGUUUAAGUUUCUCGUCUUAGGAUCAUCCGGGGUCAUUCGUACUCGUCCGCGAAAGGUGAAAUUCUUGGACCGGACGAAGACGACCAGCAGCGAAAGCAUCUGUCAGGGAUGUUUUCUGCGGCAAAGGACGAAGGUCAGGGUAUCGAAGACGAUUAGAUACCGUCGUAGUCCUGACUGUAAACUAUGCCAACUUGGGUCUUGCUGGGCGAUGCUUUGUGAGACCCACACAGAAAUGAAAGUGUAUGGGUUCUGGGGGUAGUAUGGACACAAGUCUGAAACUUGAAGGAAUUGACGGAAGAGCACCAUAAGACGUGGAGCUUGCGGCUUAAUUUGACUCAACGCGGGAAAACUUACCAGGUCAAGACAUGGGCGUGAUUGACAGGCUAAUGACUUUUCUCGAUUCCAUGGAUGGUGGUGCAUGGUCGCACUUAGUUGGUGCAGUGAUUUGUCAGGUUUAUUCCGGUAACGAACGAGACCUUAGCCUA
This 1201-nucleotide ribosomal RNA is filed under the name uncultured marine eukaryote. RNAcentral's name for it is "SSU rRNA". It matches the Rfam family "Eukaryotic small subunit ribosomal RNA", at positions 1 to 1350 of the family's 1831-position model. The record is from RNAcentral.